RNA transcript from Zingiber officinale, 3195 nucleotides. It is a transcript of the gene named coleoptile phototropism protein 1-like, with no coding region annotated. The record is from RefSeq and is a predicted model, not a curated record. Lineage: Eukaryota; Viridiplantae; Streptophyta; Magnoliopsida; Zingiberales; Zingiberaceae. The transcript has 4 exons.
UCCGCCACGCGUCGGUACCUUCGCCGUCCGUUUCCCUUAGUCCUCACUCCCCCCGCCGCUUCCGCUCCUUCCUCGCCUCGCUACGGUUCACGCGGCGCGCGCCGCCUCACUUCUCCUGCGCCGCGGCUGCGAAUCCUUCUAUAUAUACACAGCCGUGAUCCGAUCAAGUGAUCUCGCCGCUCCGGUGCUCCGCCUUCGUCCGUCGCCUGGCUAUGGAGCCUUCCACCUCUUCCCUCCUCGCUCUUCGCGACCAGUCCUUGCGAGAGUCCGUUGCUCCACUCUCAUGCCACUACGUUGAUGGCUAAUAACCCCAAACCAAUGCCUUCCCGCAUCCGCAAUCUCCCGCCCGCGAUCGUCGCCGCUCUCCGUCACAUCGGCUGAUUCGAUCCGCCCGGGCGACAAGGUAAUGAAUUUUCAGAAGAAAAAAAGGAGAAUGAUCGAGCCUUGGUCAUCGGUUCAUUUUGUAGAUUAGAAAAGAGUUUAAAAAAAAAAAAUCCUUUCUCUAUUUUCAUUUCUUUUCCUCUAGGAAUGGGACUCGUUGACCUCCAAGUUCGCAGAAGCUGCGAACACCCCCUUGCUCCUCCUCCAACUCCCCCAGAUCGUCCUUAAUGCACGCAAUCUUCUCUCAGGCAACAAAUGCCGCCCUUUUUCCGUUCCUUGGCUGGUAGACGCUCUGUCUCUUUGGAGAAAAACGAUUUGUUUUGCCUGAACUACCAUAGAGAUUGGAAUUGGUUGUUGUAGGGUAUGCAUCUAAUCAUUGAAUGCCAGCACAGUAGUUGGUGAUCGAUAAUCCUCAUUCCUAUGCAUCUAAUCAUUGAUUGAUAGCACAUGUUAUGUGGUCUACUUUUGUUCCAUCUUUCCCUGACAUCAUCCUUCCUGGAGUCAUCUCCUUCAUUCUGGCUGCUACAACUGUCACUCGACUCACUUUGGUAAGCUAUGAUCCUUAAUGAUUUUUUUUUCUUCUGAACAUGUUGAUGCUCCGGAGAUAGCCUUCCAAUUAAAAUUUGAGUUUCAUGAUCUUAUGCUUAACCAACCGAUGGGAAAAUGAAUUUGCUAAGUGACCAAAAUAAAGAAGUUAUCCACUUUCAUAAUUGAAUUUGGGCAGAAAAUAAUUUGUCUUCUAAUUAACCAGAAUGUGAAAAGUAUCAAGUAGUUUCUUUUUUCCUGAUUAAGGGAAAUUUGAAAUGAGGCCAAGUGAGAAUCUCUGACUAAAAGAUAUCAACUGGGGAGAAGUAGACGAGCAAAUGUUGGAUGAAGUAGGUUUAGGUAGAGUAAUCUGCUCAAAUGUUCAGUGGUGGGGUAUGAACUAUGUAGUUGAUGCCAAAUAGAUAGGACUUGAGGUUCACUGCUGCUGCCUGCUACAUUUUGUUCAAUUGUUCUCAAAGUACAUCCUUGUUUAAGUUCAGACCACCAUGAUCAAAAUUAAUAGAAUUUUGGAUGGUCUAGGUGAAACAAAUAAUUCUCCAAGUGGUUGGACCAACAUACUAUAUCCACUACAUUACCAUAAAACCCCAAAAAUCAAGUCAGAUUUCACUAGUUCUUUAGGUGUACCUUCGUAAUUGGACUAUCUUUUAGGAUUUUGGCUGAUGAGGAUUUUCAAAUCAAUAUUGACAUCCAAUCUAGAAUAAGGUUUUUUCCCUACAUGAUUUAUUUUCUGAACAAUAUCAGAAUAAUCAAUAUCAAUCUGGUUUUCUUUUGUUGAAAUUUAAAUGGGAGUUCUUUGGUAUCGAUUCACUAGCCUAGGUGAAAAAACUAACCUAUUAACUUACGAGGCACAACCAUUGAUCCAAAAUGCUUAAGCCUAGGUUCUUUGUGUUCCACUCAUCUAAGCUUAUAAAUUCAUUAUUAAUCCAUAAUUCUCCAUAUAAGUCUAAUCUAGGAUAUCAUAGUCUUCCCCACUGAAGUCUUAAUGUUCUCAUCAAGACCAAAGUUCUAACUCAUAGCCUAUAACCAACAUUUGGAGGAGUAAUGGUGGAUCCGGGAUUACAUAGGCAACCUUUUUUAAUACCCCAACAUCUGUAAGAUUAGGUUCUCUCUCAUAACAGUUAUCAUGACUCACCUGAAGGAGAGUAUUGGUUCAUUUACUAGUCUGGCUUCACUCUUGGACUAAAAUGCUUAUGCCUAAGUUAAUAGUAGACUCAUCUAAGCUUAUAAACUUUUUAUUAUUCCAUAAUUCUCUAUGUAGGGAUAAACUAGAAUGCCAUAUAUAACAAAUACCUGAAUUCAUGUGGAACAAGAAUAGACUAUGUGCAACGUUUAUUCAACAACUGGUUAACAACGGGAAUAAAAGUCUUGGGGUGGAAGGCACCUAGCAAUAUUAAAAAGUGACUGAGAAAAGAAAGAUGCUAGUUCAUCCAUAUUAUUUUGUUUUAGUUUGUUUCUCAGUUGUGACUAUGUUAACCUGAUGUUAUGGUUCAGUAAAAAAUAUAGGAAAUUCACUAAAUUACAAAAAUAUGUCUAAAAUAUCAGGAGCUUGCUAAAGAAGAAUGGCAUGCCUGUUGCUAUUGCCUGGUAUUGCUAUCACUCUAAUUUUUCCCAGGCAUUAAUAUACUCAUCCUAAUGCUUUCAAUCUUCCACUUUAUUUUACUGAUGAACCCUGUAAAUAUCUUGUUCUGUACUGAUUCCUCCAUUCUCUUGUUUUUUUACAAUAGGCUUUAUUCAUUAGUUGGACCUGAAAUCAUAAGCCAGUGAAAGUAUAUUUCUUAUUUUUGCCUUACAUUUUACGCAACUUUCUUGUUUUUAAACAUUUAUUUUUCAUUCAUAUUAUUCCUACAGACAUUCUUCCAUCUUGGUUUAAAGGUAAUAUGUAUAGGCUUUAAAGGUACAUAUAGGCACGGAUUGGCAAACUUUCUGACAAAGUGACAAGGAUUGUAGGUUCACUGUCUGGAUGGACUGAAACGCUCCUUUUCAUGUGGAUGCCAGUUUCACAGAUGGUUCACUGGUUCAGCUUGAGCAUCAUUUCAUCCGGGCCGGGGAAACCUAUUCUGCAUGCAUAGUCUCAAUACCAUCAGCAAGGAGUUUUUCUUUGGAGCAACCAUUGGAUUGCUUCUUUGUAUAGGCUCAUCCGGGCGCCAGUAAGCAGGAGAGGAAGACGCUGUGCCGUCUGAUCGACGCGCGGAAGCUUUCGUCGGAGGCGGCGCUGCACGCGGCGCAGAACGAGAGGCUGCCGGUGAGGUCGGUGAUUCAGGUCCUCUU